RNAcentral lists this long non-coding RNA (1115 nucleotides) under Ananas comosus (pineapple). RNAcentral's name for it is "long non-coding RNA (ACOM_LNC027236)". Lineage: Eukaryota; Viridiplantae; Streptophyta; Magnoliopsida; Poales; Bromeliaceae. The record is from RNAcentral.
AGCAUAGUUAGUUAAUUCGGAUUCGGCAAAAAUUCGGUACGGGUAUAAUUCGGAUAAAAUUCGUCUUCUAAUUUUUAAAUUCGUUGAAAAAAAGGCUAAAAAACGGAUUCGCCAAUUAUUCGGAUACGUGAUUUAUACGGAUAUUAUACGUUCACCAAUUAAAAAUUCGGGAUCAAAAAUUCGGCUAUUAAAUUAAGUUUUUUUUUCUCUCAAGAUUUAUGCUAUUAGCAUAAAUAUUCAUAGUUUUUAAGAAUAUAAGAAUAAAGAGCUACAAAAUUAAACUAAGUUAGUAAAAAAAAUAGUAAACUAUAUUAUGCCUCAAAAUAAAGAAAUAAUUAAGCAAAUAGAGAUCAAGAUAGUCCAUAUUUAAAUUGCUGCAUUUCUAAUACUAAAAAGUUAUGUUUCAAAAAUUAAGUAGAAACCCCAUUGAGUCAAUGGUCCAUGAAAGACCACAACAAAAUUUUCCUUUUGCAAGUGUCGACAGUAUAAGAUCAUGAAAUUGAUUAGGUAUAAUAGAAGAGUUCCUGGUCCCUAAGUUAAUUAAGAUUAUUUAGCUCUGUGUUUGGGUCUUCUUUGUGCAUAACAGAGAAUGGACACAUUCAAUUAAGCACUCGAGAUUAAGUUAUNCUUUUGCAAGUGUCGACAGUACAAGAUCAUGAAAUUGAUUAGGUAUAAUAGAAGAGUUCCUGGUCCCUAAGUUAAUUAAGAUUAUUUAGCUCUAUGUUUGGGUCUUCUUUGUGCAUAACAGAGAAUGGACACAUUCAAUUAAGCACUCGAGAUUAAGUUAUUGCCCAAAAUAAAAAUUUAAAAUCAAUAUGCGAAUCUGUACAAAUAAACUAGAAAAUGAUGAUUUAAUCCUCGACUAUAUCAAUAUGCGAAUCCGAAUUAACUAACUAACUAUGAAUUAACUAACUAUGAUUUAAUCCUCUUCGAUCUUCGAUUUCUGAAGAGGAGGGCUUCCGAUGGCGUUCGGCGAGCGGCCGGAAGGGAAGAGGGGGAGGGGAAGGGACCGCGACCGCCGCAGGGUCGGUGGUAGGGCCACGCGCCGCACCGCCGCAGGGGUGAGAAGUUAGGGCAAACCCUUUUUUUGGGAGGGGUGUGGGACUCGUGGUGGG